This is a long non-coding RNA of Cyprinodon variegatus (sheepshead minnow), 447 nucleotides long. RefSeq lists it as uncharacterized. The record is from RefSeq and is a predicted model, not a curated record. Lineage: Eukaryota; Metazoa; Chordata; Actinopteri; Cyprinodontiformes; Cyprinodontidae. The transcript has 3 exons.
CAGUGGCUAUGAGUUUGACUACGAUUACUACAGAGAGGACUUCUAUGACAGGUUGUUCGAGUUUCGCAGCAGAGUGUCUCCCAUCCCUCGGGUGGUGCCGGUCAAACGUCCCAGGGUGGCGGUACCGCUGGUUCGACGUGUCAAAUCUCUGCCGGUCAAAGUGUUAGCAUGUAGCGCCUCCGUCCUUCCCACCAACGGAAACAAAAAGAGACCAGCCAUGAAAGGAACAGAGCUGCAGGCCAUCAAGUCGGAGCUGACUCAGAUCAAAAGCAACAUCGAGGCUUUGCUGGGCAGGCUGGAGCAGAUCACAGAGGAGGCACGGAUCACUGCCACAGGUGACGCACACAUGCAAGAGCGACGGCAUUCAGAACAAAAAUUUAAAAAAACUUUUGUUUCCAAUCACAGAGAAAAUACGGCACAAAUGUCGACCUUUAGUUGUAAAUCAAU